Long non-coding RNA from Gavialis gangeticus (Gharial), 335 nucleotides. RefSeq lists it as uncharacterized. The transcript has 3 exons. The record is from RefSeq and is a predicted model, not a curated record. NCBI's taxonomy places the organism in Eukaryota, Metazoa, Chordata, Crocodylia, Gavialidae.
AGACUGAAAACCAUGUAUAAGGAAAACACAAACUAUGUCAAGCUAGGUGAGAAAUCUUCUGUCUUCCUUCCGGAGCACAGGCGCGCCUGCUUCUCACCUUUCUCCAGCUCAUCCCCAUCAUCAGCUACAACAUUUCAGCUACUCUGUGAACACAGGGUUGGCCACCCCGUGUUAAACACUGAGCAACUAUUGCUGGGAACAUUGGAUGAACCAGAAUAACUACAUGAUGAAUCUGGAUGAUAUGCAACUUGAUACCAGAGCCUUUGCUAACAAGAAAGAAACUAAUAGACUCAGCCAUGCUGCAGUAAAGAACAGGAAUGAAAGAGAGAGAGAGA